UCAUGAUUUUUAAUGUGACGGGUUGCGUCACUAGUUACCAGGCCCCUGUUUCACCAACGUGACAGGUGCGACGAAUUGUAAAAUCACUGUUGCUGACGUCACAGGCAUCCAUGGGCUACGGUUACCGCUUACCAUCGGGCGGGCCGUAUUCCUGUUUACCACCAUCAUUGUAUUAUUAAAAAAAACUUUAUGAUAUCGGAAAAAAACAGAUAUUUCUCUUGCUAAGUUUAUGACAAUUGUCACAAGAAACACUACAAUUGUCACGAAAUUCCGACAUAUAACUCAUUACCUGUCAAGAAUUACCUACAAUUCUUCUAAAUCUUUGACAAUUGUCAGAAACUUCGCAGGAGAAAUAUCUGUUUUUAUCCGAUAUAAUAAAGUUUUUUUAAAUAAUACAAUGAUGGUGGCAAACAGGAAUACGGCCCGCCCGAUGGUAAGUGGUAAUCGUAGCCCAUGGAUGCCUGUGACGUCAGCAACAGUGAUUUUACAAUUCGUCGCACCUGUCACCGAUGUGAAAUUGGGGCCUGAUGUCAAACAUAAUUUAUCAGGACAUCAUAUAAACUGAUUACAUGUGCCUGAACUAGGAUGUCCUGUGUUUUAAGCGAAAAAUAGAGCAAGCAUUCGUAUUUAAAAUUGUCCCUUACAAAAAGAAUCACGUCAACCAAAACAGAGAAUAAAAAUAUUCUACUAUGACAAUUUCUUCGUGAUAUUGAUUUGAGUUUCUUUUAAUAUUACAGAUUGAUACGGUAAUAAUAAAGUUUCACUAUCCCAGUUAAAUAUUCAUAACAGAGAUUUAUUCCUUUUUCUAUUAUAUCAAUUUCUAUGUUAACGAUUUUUUUUAUCUCGUCACAGUUCAGCUAAGUUUUUUUAUUUAUAAAAAUACUGUUACUCGGCCUGGACUUUUAACACGCUUGGUCAUCGGUUCAUGACCUGGCUAGUUCUCCUGAAGUUCGGUCUUUGACCUGUCCACUGGUACAGUUUCCCGCAUUUUUAAAAAUACUGUGACUCGGCCUGGCCGGCCUGGGCUUUUAACACGCUUGGUCAUUGGUUCGUGACCGAGCCCAGUUCUCCUAGAGCUCGGCCUUUGACUGGCACAGUUUACCCGCAUUUUCAAAUACUUUUUAAUUUUAAAUUUUCUUAAGCCUAAAACUUUUUUUUCAGGAUACUUCUGCCUACGACUACCGCCACCGGGAGAUUAACGUCAAUAAUUAUUAUGGGCCCGAUAACGGCGGGAGGGUCAAUGGACAAACGGUAGGUACUCUAGAAUAUUAUUAUCCAAUGUGAUAACGAAGAUGUUGCAACAUACUACGAAAACCUGCUAUUUGGUAAAGAUUUAAAUUAAUUAUUUUUUAUUAUAAUUAUUAUGCAUUUCAGUAC
This is a long non-coding RNA of Cydia splendana, 1377 nucleotides long. RefSeq lists it as uncharacterized. The record is from RefSeq and is a predicted model, not a curated record. The transcript is spliced from 3 exons. Lineage: Eukaryota; Metazoa; Arthropoda; Insecta; Lepidoptera; Tortricidae.